RNAcentral lists this ribosomal RNA (346 nucleotides) under Streptococcus sp. RNAcentral describes it as "bacterial SSU rRNA". It matches the Rfam family "Bacterial small subunit ribosomal RNA", at positions 1198 to 1533 of the family's 1533-position model. The record is from RNAcentral. Lineage: Bacteria; Bacillati; Bacillota; Bacilli; Lactobacillales; Streptococcaceae.
CCCCUUAUGACCUGGGCUACACACGUACUACAAUGGGAGUUAAUAGACGGAAGCGAGAUCGCGAGGUGGAGCAAACCCGAGAAACACUCUCUCAGUUCGGAUCGUAGGCUGCAACUCGCCUACGUGAAGUCGGAAUCGCUAGUAAUCGCAGGUCAGCAUACUGCGGUGAAUACGUUCCCGGGCCUUGUACACACCGCCCGUCACACCACGAAAGUCGGAAGUGCCCAAAGCCGGUGGGGUAACCUUCGGGAGCCAGCCGUCUAAGGUAAAGUCGAUGAUUGGGGUGAAGUCGUAACAAGGUAGCCGUAUCGGAAGGUGCGGCUGGAUCACCUCCUUUCUAGGGAGA